CCCUUAGAUGUUCUGGGCUGCACGCGCGCUACACUGAAGCUAUCAACACGUUUUCCCUCCCUGAGAAGGGCGGGUAACCUUUUGAAUCAGCUUCGUGGUAGGGAUCGGGGCUUGCAAUUGUUCCCCGUGAACCAGGAAUUCCUAGUAGACGCGAGUCAUAAGCUCGCAUCGAUUAAGUCCCUGCCCUUUGUACACUCCGCCCGUCGCUACUACCGAUUGAACGUUUUAGUGAGGCAUUUGGACCGACGCAUCUCAGUUUAACCGCUGGUUUGUGUUGGAAAGACUUCCAAACUUGAGCGUUUAGAGGAAGUAAAAGUCGUAACA
RNAcentral lists this ribosomal RNA (324 nucleotides) under uncultured eukaryote. RNAcentral describes it as "partial 18S ribosomal RNA". It matches the Rfam family "Eukaryotic small subunit ribosomal RNA", at positions 1470 to 1796 of the family's 1831-position model. The record is from RNAcentral.